CGGCCUUUCUUCCUUAGCUAACUACGGCAGGCUGGACACGUGUGCGUCCAACUUCCAGUGUGUUCCAUGUGAAGAUUCCUUUAGAAGAUGUUGCCGGUGUAGCAAACGGGAGUUCGCCAGGAAACCAGAUCAGAGAUGGUGUUGGAGCUGUUGUCCAGCUGUUCUCUUAUCAGGUAAGGUAUGUGGUGUUGUGUGUUCCUGGAGUGAGACAGCCACCUGGUCUAGAAGCUGGCCUUGCUUCAGAGAAGUUAAUGCACAACAUAUGAUGUCCUAUGACUGGUCAAACUAUGUACUGAACACCUUGAGAUUUGUCAUUGAAAAUUAAAUAAAGAGUUCUAAAUGAGA
Molecule: long non-coding RNA, 345 nt
Organism: Osmerus eperlanus (European smelt)
Lineage: Eukaryota; Metazoa; Chordata; Actinopteri; Osmeriformes; Osmeridae
Exons: 4
Source: RefSeq, a predicted model, not a curated record